Molecule: non-coding RNA, 398 nt
Organism: Erythranthe guttata (spotted monkey flower)
Lineage: Eukaryota; Viridiplantae; Streptophyta; Magnoliopsida; Lamiales; Phrymaceae
Source: RefSeq, a predicted model, not a curated record
GUGUUCGCGGGAAUGGGGGGUCAGAUGUCUGAUUAGACCAUGAAAAUACAAGAUUUUCUUGCUACGCGUGGGGCCCACCAUGCAAUUUUUGAUGAAAUCAAGAAGAGGUGUUGCUUCAAAUCUUGGAUUAAAUUGUUUGUUUGUGUUUUAAGGUUAGAGCCCACUUCUUUAUGCAAUCAGACAAUCUGAUUUUGUGGAUUUUGCAAUUGAAUUUUAAUCUGAUUUCUUGUGUCUAAUUAAUCUCGGAGGCUAUUCUAGUUCGUCGGAAAAAAACAAGGUUAAUGGCUUUCCGCUUUUGUGAUUCCGAAUGUUGCGAAAAUAUUGUUAAUUUUGUUGUCGACUAUGUUUCAUCUUUUAUGCUGUAAUAAUCUAACUGACAAUUUUUUUUUUUCGUUUUU